UGGGGAAUAUUGCACAAUGGGCGCAAGCCUGAUGCAGCCAUGCCGCGUGUGUGAAGAAGGCCUUCGGGUUGUAAAGCACUUUCAGCGGGGAGGAAGGCGGUGAGGUUAAUAACCUCAUCGAUUGACGUUACCCGCAGAAGAAGCACCGGCUAACUCCGUGCCAGCAGCCGCGGUAAUACGGAGGGUGCAAGCGUUAAUCGGAAUUACUGGGCGUAAAGCGCACGCAGGCGGUGUGUCAAGUCGGAUGUGAAAUCCCCGGGCUCAACCAGGGAACUGCGGUCGAAACUGGCAGGCUAGAGUCUUGUAGAGGGGGGUAGAAUUCCAGGUGUAGCGGUGAAAUGCGUAGAGAUCUGGAGGAAUACCGGUGGCGAAGGCGGCCCCCUGGACGAAGACUGACGCUCAGGUGCGAAAGCGUGGGGAGCAAACAGG
RNAcentral lists this ribosomal RNA (429 nucleotides) under Chloroflexota bacterium. RNAcentral describes it as "Chloroflexi bacterium partial 16S ribosomal RNA". It matches the Rfam family "Bacterial small subunit ribosomal RNA", at positions 355 to 776 of the family's 1533-position model. The record is from RNAcentral. Lineage: Bacteria; Bacillati; Chloroflexota.